This is a long non-coding RNA of Chinchilla lanigera (long-tailed chinchilla), 4539 nucleotides long. RefSeq lists it as uncharacterized. NCBI's taxonomy places the organism in Eukaryota, Metazoa, Chordata, Mammalia, Rodentia, Chinchillidae. The transcript has 3 exons. The record is from RefSeq and is a predicted model, not a curated record.
CACUGCUGCCUCCUCCCGGUCACUUUUGCAUUUACCCACCUGCUGCUUAGCUGUGUAACUGUUUCCUGGGGAUAGUCCUGACUCACCAAGGCUCCGAGGGGGCUCCGCAUUCCAGAUGGAAGGCUGAGAACAGAAGGAGCACUCUUCCUCUGCUGCGUGCCCGGCAAGGGCAGAGGGAGCCAGGAAGGAUGCGGAGCCCAGCCCCGGGCCCUCAGCGCCUCACAGGCCUUCGCAGGAGAGAGCUGCAGGUGUGCUCGCCGCCAGUGUCAGAUGGCCCUGUGGCGAGCCAGUGAGAGCUGGCAGGGCGACAGCGGGAGGAAGAAAGGCGGGGGUGGGGGCCCCUCUCUCUCCGAAACUCCCGCAGAGAGAGCUGGCUGCGGCAGGCCCGGUCUUCCACGCAGCUGCAGCCUCUGAAUCAGUCCUCUGUCGUCACCUGCUCGGCACCCUGCGGCGGAAACACACACAGCCUCCACCCUCCCACUCCGCAGCCGGCCCGACCGAGCCGCGAUUUCCAUGCUUGGACACGCGGUCACAAAGGAGACUCAGACUGGCGGGGCUGGAAGAGCCUCUCACGGAGCACCUGAUCUGACCACCUGCGGGCUAGCAUCUCCGCACCUCCCCGGGGAGGCCAGCGAGGUGCAGAGGCCAGACGACAGGCUCUGUGCCCUGGCCACGGUGGCAUCGCUCUGUAGUUACUGACUGGGCAUCGUCACCAAACACCCAGGGCUCAACGCUGAGCAGGCUCUGCGGCAGCACCCACCAAUAACCGUUUAAAAUAGCAAGAGUUCUCUUGCUGGUUAGAGAAGUACUGCAUUUCCAUUUUACGCACGAGAGGGCCGCAAGAAGACUAACAACAGAAAUAAGAACAGUCCCUAUCUCCCCCGAGAUAGGGACAACCAGAAUCAGCCUUCCUGCGGGUGCACUUUCUGCAGAGUGAGUCAUUUACAUAAAAUGCCGUGGCGCACUGCUCUCGCUGAGCACGGCAAGCACUUCCUCCAGUAACAACGCGCUCCUCAUAAAUGCGUGUUUACAUAUAACUGCUACAUCCAGGGUCUGUCGGGCCACAUUUCCCUUAAAUAUUUCCGCAGCUGGUCGUUCCCGUUUUCUGCUGUUGUGAAUGAUGCUGAGGUGAACAUUAGGGGAAAAGCUUUUCACUUAUUUUUGUAAACUUUCCUGAUACAAUUUCCCUAGAAACGCAGUCAGUGGGACCAAGAUGUGAACAUUUCACAGCUUCGUGGGAAAUGCUGUCCAGUUCGUCUUCAGAGGAAUGGAAGCCUGACUGCCCAGGCCUCCCACGCUGUCCAGUGUGACCACUGUCAUCAAAGAUAUUAAAAUACUGACUACAGUGAUCAAAGUCAUCAGUGUCUUCCAUCGGGGAUUUUUUGUCUGGCUUCCAGCUCGUUAGUCACUUGAUAAGCAAUGACUGAUUUAUAGUUUCCUAUGUGGCAGGCUCUCUGCCAAGCAUCCCACAUGUCUGCCUUCUUUAAUCUCCCCAGCAUCCCGGACUGAUCUUGUUGCCUUUGCGUUGUGUAUAUGAAACCUAAGAUUCAGAAGUGAAUUGACCAAAGCACACAUCCAGCUGAGUGAUGAGAAUACAAAAUGAAAGAGUCUAACAUCUGUACAGCCUCUGCACCAGUCCUAGUAGCCUGGGGCAGGCCUGGGCCGCUCUAGCCUAUAGGAUGUCCACUCCUGGUUGGGAGCAAAGAACUCAUGGGGAGAUUCCAGUCAGGAGAGACUCAGGCGGGUAAAGCCACCAGGGUCAGAUCAGUGAAAACCACAGGCAGAGUUCCCCCUGCCUGACAUAUCCCACUCCACAGAUAGUUGAGCCUUUGGUGGUGCGCCAAGCUCUUGGUGGGAGAUUAGAAGGGAGAAACAUCACUCCUUCCGUCAGCAGCUCACACACUCUUCCAGGGAUGAGGGUAAACACACAGAUGGCUGUUUUACAAGAAGACGACAGUGAAGCCACGGGAGAGGUGAGACUGGAGAGCCUUGGGCGUUUGGAGAAGAGCGUGACCCCUGUGGAGGCGACAUUUACAUUUCCCAAAGGAUAAAAACUUCAGCUGGCAGGGAUGGCAGGAGGAGACAGGCAUGAAUCCAGAGUGACCCAAAGGGCGGAAGGGUCCCGAGGACACCUGGGGGCAGUCCACAUGGGACAAGGAUGUGAAGGUGGUGUUUGACCAAGUUCAAGGGCCUGCCCUUGAUGCAGGCUGCAGGGAUAGAGGUGUGACCAUCGCCCAGGGGGACAGUGACUGAUGUCCACUGGGAUGGAAGGCAGGGCCUGAAUUCGGGUGGGACAUGAAGAGACUUGAGCCAGGGAGCUGGGUUUGUGCAUGGGUGAAGAAUGGCAGACCUGAGAGCGAUACAGAGGUGGGAUUUGCCGCCUGGGUGCAGUUCGUGGGCGCAGGACUCCUCUCCUUCUCUGCUCCGUGAACCCAGCUGCCAUCCUGCUGGACCUCCCUGCAUACACCAACCCAAGGGCAUCAGUGCCAUCACCCCACCCAGGACCCCACCACAGUGUCUAGCGGAACUGCAGACGCGCUCCGAGGCCUCCUCCAUGUCUCCUCCGAGCGGAGUCUUAUCGUUUGUGGUCCAAACCAGCGCACUUAAGAAAACAAAAGGAGGCUCUACAAACAAAUUCCUCUAGGCAAAAGAUCUAGGCCAGGACUGUCCAGAGCGCACCUGGACAUACGGACUCCCUAGCUAGAGGGAUCAUUUGCAAAAGUAAGUGACACCCCACACUCUGCUAAGUGGCUUCCCUUUGCAAUAAGAAUAAAGCUGUGCAUGUCCUGGUGCUGCAGACUGAUACUGUAACUGCGGACUUGUGUGGACCAUGGCUCAUAGGAGUUAGCAGCCCUGUCAUCUCUUUCUUGGCCCUGACAUCCUUCAUGCAGCUGGCUAAGGAGCAUUCUGGUGAGCAGGAGAUAAACUGCAGUGCUGGAGAGCCAGAGCGGCCAGCUCAGCACGUGUCCCUGCUGCCUGAGGUUGCCCUGUCAUCCCCAUCCCAGUUUGGGCCACUGUCACUUCCUACCUAAACGACAGCAGCCUCAUGACCCACCUGCCUGACUGUAGCUUGGGGUCCUUUCACUCCAUCUUCCACCCUUCAACUAGAGUGGUCACGAACAACAAAUCUAUUCGGCACAUAUUUUGGGACACAGUGUCUCAAGGCUGGCCAUGAGCUGCUGGGCUCCAGUGCACCUCCCACUUCAGACUCCAAGGACAGCAGACACGCAGGCAUCCGUAUACAUAUGCGUCUUUGCUUCACCUCUUCUGAACUAACAUCACCACCCUGGCGAGUCCGUCAUUGGCACUUUCAUGAUUUCAGUAGCUCGUUGGCCUGCAGUGGCUGUGGAAGCGUCUGUCCAGCAGGCUUCAGAUAAGAGCCCGCACAGGGACUGUGCUCAACCAGCAGCUGCUCGGCGUGGUGGCUUCUGGAUCUGCUACAGCUUUCCUGUCAAGGUCGGGUCCUGCCAGCGUUGGAGCCCACCUGGGUCCAGGGGCCUGGACAUCUCUCCCAUCUUCUCUGAGGGGCAGCCUCUGCUCUAUGACCCCCUAGGAUGGCUGAGACUUUCCCAGAGAUGCUCUUUUGUCUGAGACUAUUUCUUCUCCAUCCUUCUCCCCAUCUCCCGAGAGUCAGACCUACCUCAUCCUCUAGCCUGUUCCUGCCUCUCCUGCUCCUUCUGUCUUCCUUCUCUCCAGUUAACCUCUUGCACAUCUACCCUUGUCUCGGCACCUACUUCCUCGAGGAUCCAAAGUAGCAUACGUUCUCCCCAUCUAUCUGUAUGGUGCUUUUUAACUUCUUGAAAGUUACAGUUGGCCAGCAGUUCAAAGACAAUCGGCCAUACCUGUCUAACCUGCAUAUCCCCCAGAGCAUUUAUACCAGGGCAGGGGCUCAAUAAACAUUUACAGAAUGAAUGGAUGGACCAGAACACCCCCGCUUCUAGAGGCUUGUGUGCACUAGGCGGUACUGAGGGCCUGGUGGGGUCAGAGCCCUGAUAUGAGGGUAGACGGGCCAUGUUGGCUGACUGUGCUUCAGAGCAAUUGGAAAUAGCUCUUCAUCACCUUAAAACUUUGAGGUCACGGGUGUCUUUCAUGCGAAAGUGCCCAUGUCUCCCUCACGACCUAACGUCUGGAAUCCUGGCCAGAGCAGAACAGGGAAGUCUCCGUGAGCAACAGGAAGUGAGAGACCGGAACCGGAAGUGGACUUGCUGGGAGAGUUGACGCGAGCCCCGGGCUUGAGAGGCGUACCCGGCCGGGAAGUGAGGUCCUGCUUGGGUUCCCCCUGCGGUCGGACUUCAUGCUGCUGCCUGCAGCCAGGCUCCUCCCCAGGCCAGGUGUGAACACGGGGUGGGCCGCAGCUGCCGGAGCCCGUGUUUCCCCCUGCCUCUGGGCAACCGGGGGAAACUGGGAUGCUAACUGGGAAACUGGCUCAGUCUCGACGGGUACAAAAUCUAUGCAAACCUGUAUUUAAAAUUCUGUUUCCGAUCAUUCCCUUUCCCCUGCUUGGUUAUUCAGCAGGUUGAAUAGAUGAUUAUGAAUCAU